RNAcentral lists this ribosomal RNA (466 nucleotides) under uncultured bacterium. RNAcentral's name for it is "bacterial SSU rRNA". It matches the Rfam family "Bacterial small subunit ribosomal RNA", at positions 28 to 507 of the family's 1533-position model. The record is from RNAcentral.
GACGAACGCUGGCGGCGUGCCUAAUACAUGCAAGUCGAGCGGGGUUUAUGGGUAGCUUGCUACCGAUAAACCAAGCGGCGGACGGGUGAGUAACGCGUGGGCAACCUGCCCUCUAGCCUGGGAUAACAGCGCGAAAGUGCUGCUAACACCGGAUAUGCUCACAGGGAGACAUCUCCCGGUGAGGAAAGUUUACACUAGAGGAUGGGCCCGCGUCCCAUUAGCUAGUUGGUGAGGUAACGGCCCACCAAGGCGACGAUGGGUAGCCGACCUGAGAGGGUGAUCGGCCACACUGGGACUGAGACACGGCCCAGACUCCUACGGGAGGCAGCAGUAGGGAAUUUUCCGCAAUGGGCGCAAGCCUGACGGAGCAACGCCGCGUGAGGGAUGAAGGUUUUCGGAUCGUAAACCUCUGUCUUCAGGGACGAUAAUGACGGUACCUGAGGAGGAAGCCACGGCUAACUACGUG